This 253-nucleotide ribosomal RNA is filed under the name uncultured bacterium. RNAcentral's name for it is "partial 16S ribosomal RNA". It matches the Rfam family "Bacterial small subunit ribosomal RNA", at positions 524 to 776 of the family's 1533-position model. The record is from RNAcentral.
UACGUAGGACGCAAGCGUUGUCCGGAAUCACUGGGUGUAAAGGGUGCGUAGGCGGGAAGGUAAGUCAGUGGUGAAAUCUCACGGCUCAACCGUGAAACUGCCGUUGAUACUGCUUUUCUUGAGUUUGGGAGAGGUCGAUGGAAUUCCAGGUGUAGCGGUGAAAUGCGUAGAUAUCUGGAAGAACACCAGUGGCGAAGGCGGUCGACUGGCCCAUAACUGACGCUGAGGCACGAAAGCUAGGGGAGCAAACGGG